GUCCACGCCGUAACGGUGGAUGCUGGAUGUGGGACCAUUCCACGGUCUCCGUGUCGGAGCCAACGCGUUAAGCAUCCCGCCUGGGAGUACGGCCGCAAGGCUAAACUCAAGAAUUGACGGGGCCCGCACAAGCGGCGGAGCAUGCGGAUUAAUUCGAUGCAACGCGAAGAACCUUACCUGGGCUUGACAUGUUCCCGACAGCCGUAGAGAUACGGUCUCCCUUCGGGCGGGUUCACAGGUGGUGCAUGGUCGUCGU
RNAcentral lists this ribosomal RNA (256 nucleotides) under uncultured bacterium. RNAcentral describes it as "partial 16S ribosomal RNA". It matches the Rfam family "Bacterial small subunit ribosomal RNA", at positions 793 to 1055 of the family's 1533-position model. The record is from RNAcentral.